Molecule: ribosomal RNA, 254 nt
Filed under: uncultured bacterium
Lineage: Bacteria
Description: partial 16S ribosomal RNA
Rfam family: Bacterial small subunit ribosomal RNA
Source: RNAcentral
GACGUAGGGUGCAAGCGUUAUCCGGAUUUACUGGGCGUAAAGAGCGCGUAGGCGGCCUGUUAAGUGAGACGUGAAAUCUUCAGGGCUCAACCCGAAAAUUGCUUUUCAUACUGGCAGACUUGAGGGAUGGAGAGGUAUGUGGAAUUCCUGGUGUAGCGGUGAAAUGCGUUGAUAUCAGGAGGAACACCCAUGGCGAAGGCAGCAUACUGGUCAUCAUCUGACGCUGAGGCGCGAAAGCGUGGGUAGCAAACAGG